Molecule: ribosomal RNA, 200 nt
Filed under: uncultured bacterium
Lineage: Bacteria
Description: partial 16S ribosomal RNA
Rfam family: Bacterial small subunit ribosomal RNA
Source: RNAcentral
GGGCGCAAGCUGAUCCAGCCAUGCCGCGUGGGUGAUGAAGGCCCUAGGGUUGUAAAGCCCUUUCGGCGGGGAAGAUAAUGACGGUACCCGCAGAAGAAGCCCCGGCUAACUUCGUGCCAGCAGCCGCGGUAAUACGAAGGGGGCUAGCGUUGCUCGGAAUCACUGGGCGUAAAGCGCACGUAGGCGGAUCCUUAAGUCGG